This 492-nucleotide ribosomal RNA is filed under the name uncultured bacterium. Its description in RNAcentral is "partial 16S ribosomal RNA". It matches the Rfam family "Bacterial small subunit ribosomal RNA", at positions 29 to 507 of the family's 1533-position model. The record is from RNAcentral.
AGUGAACGCUGGCGGUGGGCCUAACACAUGCAAGUCGAACGGCAGCACAGUAAGAGCUUGCUCUUACGGGUGGCGAGUGGCGGACGGGUGAGGAAUACAUCGGAAUCUACUUUUUCGUGGGGGAUAACGUAGGGAUACUUACGCUAAUACCGCAUACGACCUACGGGUGAAAGCAGGGGAUCUUCGGACCUUGCGCGAUUGAAUGAGCCGAUGUCGGAUUAGCUAGUUGGCGGGGUAAAGGCCCACCAAGGCGACGAUCCGUAGCUGGUCUGAGAGGAUGAUCAGCCACACUGGAACUGAGACACGGUCCAGACUCCUACGGGAGGCAGCAGUGGGGAAUAUUGGACAAUGGGCGCAAGCCUGAUCCAGCCAUACCGCGUGGGUGAAGAAGGCCUUCGGGUUGUAAAGCCCUUUUGUUGGGAAAGAAAAGCAGCAGGUUAAUACCCCGCUGUUCUGACGGUACCCAAAGAAUAAGCACCGGCUAACUUCGUG